RNAcentral lists this long non-coding RNA (409 nucleotides) under Medicago truncatula (barrel medic). RNAcentral's name for it is "long non-coding RNA (MTRU_LNC005589)". Lineage: Eukaryota; Viridiplantae; Streptophyta; Magnoliopsida; Fabales; Fabaceae. The record is from RNAcentral.
AAUCACUUUUGGGUAGAUCUGGUUUGGUUACAAUAGAAUCCUUUUUGGGUCGGUGCUUCUUCAACUUCUUCUGCAACUUCGGUUUGGUUGAGAUCGAAUCACUUUUGGGUAGAUCCGGUUUGGUUACGAUAGAAUCUUUUUUGGGUCGGUGCUUCUUCAACUUCUUCUGCAACUUCGGUUUGGUUGAGAUCGAAUCACUUUUGGGUAGAUCUGGUUUGGUUGAGAUAGAAUCUCUGUCAGGUCGAUGCUUCUUCCACUUCUUCUUCUGCAACUGCAACUCCGUCAACCAAGAUGGAACUUCACAGCCUGAGGAUGCCAUUAGAUUAGAUACAUUCCGCAGGAAUGGAAUGUCCUCCUCUGUGUAAAAUGUAAUCGCUUCCCCACUCCUCCCUGCUCUGCCAGAACGACC